Molecule: unclassified non-coding RNA, 320 nt
Organism: Erinaceus europaeus (western European hedgehog)
Lineage: Eukaryota; Metazoa; Chordata; Mammalia; Eulipotyphla; Erinaceidae
Gene: 7SK
Rfam family: 7SK RNA
About the family: 7SK was discovered as an abundant small nuclear RNA in the mid-70s but a possible function has only recently been suggested. Two independent studies have found that 7SK RNA binds the CDK9/cyclin T complex (known as elongation factor P-TEFb). P-TEFb activates transcription by phosphorylating the C-terminal domain of RNA polymerase II.
Source: Ensembl
GGAUGUGAGGGUGAUCUGGCUGGGACAUCUAUCACCCAUUGAUCGCCAGGGUUGAUUCACUGAUCUGGCUGGCUAGGCGGGUGUCCCCUUCCUCCCUCACCACUCCAUGUGUGUCCCUCCUGAAGCUGUGUGCUUGCUCUAAGAGGAUGGCCUCCCCUGAAUAGGGAUGGACCAGUCUUCCAUCAAGGGUGUAUGAAUAGCUGCACUCCCCUGCUAGAACCUCCAAACAAUUUCUCAAGAAUUAACUGAUUGUAUUAAUUAUUUUUUCACUAGUUGCACAUUUCUUGAUUGGUGUUACUUUAUAGUAAAUCUUGAAGUUA